CAAUAGCGUAUAUUAAAGUUGUUGCGGUUAAAAAGCUCGUAGUUGGAUUUCUGCCGAGGACGACCGGUCCGCCCUCUGGGUGAGUAUCUGGUUCGACCUGGGCAUCCUCUUGGAGAACGUGGCUGCACUUGAUUGUGUGGUGCGGUAUCCAGGACUUUUACUUUGAGGAAAUAGGAGUGUUCCAAGCAGGCUCUCGUCGUGCACAGCUCAGCAUGGAAUAAUAGCAUUGGACCUCGAUUCUAAGCUGUUGGUUGCCAGAAGCGAGGUAAUGAUGAAGAGGGAUAGUUGGGGGCAUUGCGUAUUUAAUCUAGUCAGAGGUGAAAUUCUUGGAUUUGAUUAAAUGGAUCGGUAACUAGCUGCGAAAGCAUCUAGCCAUGGAUGCUUUUGCAUUUGAUUCAAGAAACAGAAAGUUAAGGGGAUGCGAAGAUGAUUAG
Molecule: ribosomal RNA, 434 nt
Filed under: uncultured eukaryote
Lineage: Eukaryota
Description: bacterial SSU rRNA
Rfam family: Eukaryotic small subunit ribosomal RNA
Source: RNAcentral